Molecule: ribosomal RNA, 400 nt
Filed under: uncultured bacterium
Lineage: Bacteria
Description: bacterial SSU rRNA
Rfam family: Bacterial small subunit ribosomal RNA
Source: RNAcentral
UAGGGAAUAUUGGGCAAUGGCCGACAGGCUGACCCAGCCAUGCCGCGUGCCGGACGAAGGCGCUCAGCGUUGUAAACGGCUUUUAUCAACGAAGAACGUACAGGGUGCGCCCUGUAGUGACGGUAGUUGAGGAAUCAGCACCGGCUAACUCCGUGCCAGCAGCCGCGGUAAUACGGAGGGUGCAAGCGUUGUCCGGAUUUAUUGGGUUUAAAGGGUGCGUAGGUGGUGGGUUAAGUCUGGUUUGAAAGCUGGUCGCUCAACGAUCAGAUUGGGCUGGAAACUGGCCGACUUGAAUCAGGUAGCGGUGGCUGGAACGGGUCAUGUAGCGGUGAAAUGCAUAGAUAUGACCCAGAACCCCGAUUGCGAAGGCAGGCCACUGGGCCUUGGAUUGACACUGAGG